GAAUUCCCCCUAAAACCCAUUAUUUUCCCACUGAAACCCUAACUUUGCAAACAGGCCUUCUCUCUCGCUUUCUCUUCCUCCCUCCCUCCCUGCGACAUUAUAACAAAAAUCCCCAAAAAAAUUUAACAAGAAGAGAUUAUAUUCAAAAAUAAAAAAAGAAGAGGAAAAUGGACGCACCAAAGACGAUUCAGCAUGAAAUGGAAGCAAUAAGCUGAAGAUCUGUUUGUGAGAAUCGGAAGAGGACCAGUUCACUUUUACGAAAUCUGCUUGAUGUUAUUGAGGAAGUACAUAUAGCACGGUUAGACAUUAGGGGUCUGAUUCUUACUAGCUUCUGUUCUCCAUCUGGUACACUAUUAUCUCCUCUUUAUUAUGUUUCUUAAAUUUGUGGUUGUGAUGCCGUGGGCUGAAAUUCUUUCUUUGAGAAUUUGACUUUUGAUUCUUUUCUUCAGGAAAACAAAGUAGAGAUGAUGGAUGACUAGAUCAUAUUUCUCGUUUGAUAUAAUGCCAUUUGAAACCUAUGAAUGCUUAUCCUGCUACGAACUGUUUUACUUAUUAUUUUGUUUUUUGUUUUUAUUUAUUGGAAUGGAGCUUAGCGUUUUGGGUGCUCUUGUUUUUAUUUAUGAGUGGUAGGAUAUAAGUCAUAAAACUAGGGAAGGAAAAGUUUUUCUAUUUCCAAGAUUCUUUCUUCAGUUAGUUUAACAUAUUCAAGGUAAAGGAUUUUAAUGAUAGCUGGUGCAAGACCAUUCAAAGUUUUAGUGUUCCUCUCUUUUCCGGUUUGUUUAAGUGUGGUUGUAAAAAGGUUUGGCAUAGCCCACACAUGGCUUGGUGAAGUUAAAUCUAUGCAAAAAAUGGCUUGGUGACUGUUCAAUAUAUAGGUUCAUAGUUCUCAACUUGUUGUUAAGUUUAUGUGUGCAUUGAUGGUUAAUGAUAAUUGUUAAAAUGGAUUUGAAUUGCUUAUUUUGAUGAUGAAAUCAUUAAUUCUCAAUGGCCAGAGGAAAUGCCUCUGUGCCUGCCAUGGAAAUGGCCAAGUGGUUUGACACCAACUAGUAAGUUGCUAUUUCUUGGCCUAUUUUAUCAGCUUUUCCAUGCAUACUGAGAUUUUGGUACUAAUACUAAUUCCCAAUUUUCAAUUGCAAUCCAUCUAAAAUAGCCUUUUUAUCUCCAUUCGAUAUAUAACGUUGUUGGCCUAUUCAUUUUUAGGCAUAUUCAAAGUCUGCAGUUUACAUGAGCCAUGCUUCGUGUGACAACAAACAUCGCUCGGGAAGGUCUCGUUAUUGGUUCCUAACGUUUUUGCACUUGCAAAGCUUAUGAAUGUCAGUGAAGAUGAGAGUCAACUUUCUGCUAUAGCUAGCCUACUGAUUUUCUUUACAGAGCUAUUUUAAAUAUAUUAUCGUUGGAGAAUGUGAAGAUUUUGACAUAUUUCAAUCACAAGAUGAUAUUUUAUAUGGGCACAUGUUUCUUAACUUUGCCAUGGCUGUACUGGUGUUCACUUGAGUUCAUGUUUGGAGGAAAUUUUUGACAGUAUAUUACAUAUGUUGUGCAUGGUUGCAGAGCAAGGAGUGUUUAGAGAAAGUUACUCAAACAUUAUCUUUUCUUGCUCAACCACGAGAAUCUCACUUGCUUUUGCUUACGGGAGAGGUGCAGAGGGAUAGAGCUGCAGAGCUUUUGGGUUUGCGUGCAUGCAAUUUUCAGCCACGACAUUCGAACAAACUUGGAAAUGAGUUUCGGGUGUUCACAAACUAUGACCCUGGGGAGAGAUUAGGAGGAUGGGAGCAAGAACAAUAGGUGCCUUUUUCUUGCCAUCGUUUGCUAGGAAUAUUUUUCUCAUGGAUGAGCUUCAUGCAACCUAAUUUUUAUCCAUUAUCAAGGCAUUUCCAACACUUACCCUUGGAAAAAUUAACUAGCUUUUCUGCUAAUUUUCCCGUAGAAAACAUGAAAACAUGCAGAUGAGAAAACUUCCAAGCAAGUUCAUCCUCAUAUUAUGCAUUUUGGUCUACUUUUUUAAACUAGUGCAAUUUUCCUCACUUGUGUAGAUUUCGUAAUACAUAAAACUAUUUAAGGUUGUUUAAAGUUGUACUGACUCAUACCUACUCAUUGCCAUUUUGAAAUGUAAUUAGGAAGUUGUUCCAAAACACACAAUACAGAUGGAAGAAGCCAUACAAGUUUCUCAUAUGUAUUAUUUAUUUUAGUUUUGAUUCUAAUUUUU
Gossypium raimondii (Peruvian cotton) is the source of this 2206-nucleotide RNA transcript. RefSeq lists it as uncharacterized. The record is from RefSeq and is a predicted model, not a curated record. Lineage: Eukaryota; Viridiplantae; Streptophyta; Magnoliopsida; Malvales; Malvaceae. The transcript is spliced from 7 exons.